This 460-nucleotide ribosomal RNA is filed under the name uncultured bacterium. RNAcentral's name for it is "partial 16S ribosomal RNA". It matches the Rfam family "Bacterial small subunit ribosomal RNA", at positions 338 to 795 of the family's 1533-position model. The record is from RNAcentral.
CCUACGGGAGGUAGCAGUGAGGAAUAUUGGUCAAUGGGCUUACGCCUGAACCAGCCAAGUCGCGUGAGGGAAGACUGCCCUAUGGGUUGUAAACCUCUUUUGUCAGGGAGCAACGCCGGCUACGUGUAGCCGGACUGAGAGUACCUGACGAAAAAGAAUCGGCUAACUCCGGUCCAGCAGCCGCGGUAAUAGGGAGGAUGCGAGCUUUAUCCGGAUUUAUUGGGUUUAAAGGGUGCGUAGGCGGAAUGCCAAGUCAGCGGUAAAAUCGCGGGGCUCAAUCCCGCGGCGCAGUUGAAACUGGCAUUCUUGAGUGGGCGAGAAGUACGCGGAAUGCGUGGUGUAGCGGUGAAAUGCAUAGAUAUCACGCAGAACUCCGAUUGCGAAGGCAGCAUACCGGCGCCAAACUGACGCUGAGGCACGAAAGCGUGGGGAUCGAACAGGAUUAGAUACCCGUGUAGUC